GACGAACGCUGGCGGCGCGCUUAACACAUGCAAGUCGAACGGAAAGGCCUGCUUUCCCUUGUGGAUUGCGGGUACUCGAGUGGCGAACGGGUGAGUAACACGUGAGUGAUCUGCCCCCAACUUGGGUAUAAGCCUGGGAAACUGGGUCUAAUUCCCGAUAGGACUGCAGGGUGGUGCCUGUGGUGGAAAACGAUUUUCUAGUGGUUGGGGAUGAGCUCGCGGCCUAUCAGCUUGUUGGUGGGGUAAUGGCCUACCAAGGCGGCGACGGGUAGCCGGCCUGAGAGGGUGGACGGCCACAUUGGGACUGAGCUACGGCCCAGACUCCUACGGCAGGCAGCAGUGGGGAAUAUUGCACAAUGGGCGGAAGCCUGAUGCAGCGACGCCGCGUGGGGGAUGACGGCCUUCGGGUUGUAAACUCCUUUCGACCGCGAGGAAGCCACCUGGCUGGAAGGGUGGUGACGGUAGUGGUAGAAGAAGCACCGGCUAACUACGUG
RNAcentral lists this ribosomal RNA (494 nucleotides) under uncultured bacterium. RNAcentral's name for it is "partial 16S ribosomal RNA". It matches the Rfam family "Bacterial small subunit ribosomal RNA", at positions 28 to 507 of the family's 1533-position model. The record is from RNAcentral.